Molecule: ribosomal RNA, 497 nt
Filed under: uncultured bacterium
Lineage: Bacteria
Description: partial 16S ribosomal RNA
Rfam family: Bacterial small subunit ribosomal RNA
Source: RNAcentral
GACGAACGCUGGCGGCGUGCCUAAUACAUGCAAGUUGAGCGAUGAAGAUUGGUGCUUGCACCAAUUUGAAGAGCAGCGAACGGGUGAGUAACGCGUGGGGAAUCUGCCUUUGAGCGGGGGACAACAUUUGGAAACGAAUGCUAAUACCGCAUAACAACUUUAAACAUAAGUUUUAAGUUUGAAAGAUGCAAUUGCAUCACUCAAAGAUGAUCCCGCGUUGUAUUAGCUAGUUGGUGAGGUAAAGGCUCACCAAGGCGAUGAUACAUAGCCGACCUGAGAGGGUGAUCGGCCACAUUGGGACUGAGACACGGCCCAAACUCCUACGGGAGGCAGCAGUAGGGAAUCUUCGGCAAUGGACGAAAGUCUGACCGAGCAACGCCGCGUGAGUGAAGAAAGUUUUCGGAUCGUAAAACUCUGUUGGUAGAGAAGAACGUUGGUGAGAGUGGAAAGCUCAUCAAGUGACGGUAACUACCCAGAAAGGGACGGCUAACUACGUG